GAGAAUGAUAGACGGAGUGAAUGAUCUAGAGAGCAGGAGUAAGUCUAUAAAGGGCCUCCUGUAGCAUCUCCAAACAGCCCAUCCAACCCAGAAACUCCAGCACCACGUGGACAAAUGGAACAGCCCUCUGUAAGGCACCACGGAGGUGACCAAAGCUGAUGUUUUGAAGAUGCCAACUUCAGAGAGCUGGCUGUGAUCUCCAGUGAGAUAACCCUGGAGAGUAUGUCAUAUUGAAAAUUGUUAGAAUUGCAAAGUCUGUGGUAGAGUCCUGCUCAGGUCAGGUACCCGUGGAAUACCCACAAAGUGGCCGGGUUUUGGGCAGAAAGUUCAGAUUCGUUUAUUGUGCAGUUAGUUCAUGGGUGGGUGCCCAGGUACCUGGCCAAGAUGUGGGUUUGGUCCCUCCGAUCCUCCCCUGAGUUUAUGGCACAAAUUGUCCCCUUAACCAUCUUAUUAGGCUCCAGUGUGACAUCAUUUUCGGUCCAUAGUGAUGUCACUUCCAUUUUCACUGGUUCCUAGAUCAGAAGGUACGUUUAAUUGUUUGCGGGCAGGGUAGGGGGUCUAGCUAAUGGAACAUAUUGGAUGGUGGAUGCGGGUCUGGUUGCAGGUCAACGGGGUUGGUCACAGUUCUGCUCGUCUGGACCCACGCAGGUCUCUGAAUGAGAAUUUUAUUCAGAUUUAGAAGUGUGAAAUUGGAGAUUACCCCAGUAAAAUGUUGUCACUCCCCUUUUACCCACCUCUAAAAACCCCAUAGGAAUGAAUUCAGAGUGGCAGAAUUUUACCGGGGUAAACUCUUAUUCCACGCUUUGAUAAAUCUGCCACAUAAUCCAGAACCCUGGUUCAGAGGCCCAUUUAUCAAAGUUCGAAUUUAUCUCAUUUUGUUCUAAAAACUACUCCUAACAAAUAAGCACUGUUUUUUCCCCUUAUUUAUCAAUACAUUUUCCUGAAAAUUUCCUGUGCGAGAAAAAUCCUGAAAAAAUCCUGAAAAAACGAAUCGUACGAAAUGUUCUGGUUUUCCAUCGAAAAACUCAGAUUUUUUCAGAUUUUUGCCUGAAAACUGGAUCGGAUUAUUGGAUGACCACAACGCAGAUAUCUUCGGGAUUGCUCCUAUGGACUUAUAUGCAACUUCGGCAGUUCUGAGAUGCCGGAUUUUCGGAUUCAGACUUUUUCCAUCCUCGGGGUAUAAUAAAUACCAAAAAAAGGUUUUUCUUUUUUAACUGCAGUGCAAUGUUUUGUUUUUUUAAGCACAAAGCUUUGUCUUUCAAGUAAAUAAAUGAAACGUGUCGGUGUGGUGUUUUCUAUGGUUCACCAAGAGAAGCCUCAUUUAUUGAGCGACAAUGUUCACUCACAGAACUUCUAUAAUAAAAGUCCUUUGACUUGAA
Molecule: long non-coding RNA, 1379 nt
Organism: Xenopus laevis (African clawed frog)
Lineage: Eukaryota; Metazoa; Chordata; Amphibia; Anura; Pipidae
Exons: 2
Source: RefSeq, a predicted model, not a curated record